UACAUAUAUGAGUAUGCAGUGAUAAAUUGACUUCGGCCGCCUGCGGCCUGAUUAUAUUACUGUUUAUUAAACUAGUCUUGCACACACUUCGGUUCACCAUUUGAUUCUGACACCUGUCAAUGUACGGUCUUUUGAGCCAUAUAUGCACCACCAAACCAAACCACCUGUCAAUGUAAAAGCAAUUAACUCGCCAAUCAAUUUCCACAUAACGGCGAAAGACAUGUUUGCAAAAGAAACUGUCACCCAUACAUUUGCACGUAUUUACUACAACGUCUAGUUGUUUUUUUUUGGGAGGUGUAUAGAAAAUAUAUAUAAAAGGGGUCGUGUGUACGUGAGAGGUCAAAGUUUCAUCAAAUAAUAUUGAAGAAAUGUUAAAGAGAGUAUACAACACAGUAGCUGAUGAUGCGGUGCAGUAAUUUAUAAACAUCGCCUGCUGAAUAUGUGACAGACAGCAUGAAAUUACUUGUUAUUCACUUUUUAAAUAGAUCUUGAAGAAUAUUAAUUGAAUCUUGAGUUUUUGACUGUCAUGAAAAAGAUGCCUUCUGAAAUGUUCCUGGGAAAUGGUGGCACUCUCCAUCGUUCUUUGAUGUUCAUAUUGAAGCUUGG
Pseudomyrmex gracilis is the source of this 606-nucleotide long non-coding RNA. RefSeq lists it as uncharacterized. The record is from RefSeq and is a predicted model, not a curated record. The transcript is spliced from 3 exons. Lineage: Eukaryota; Metazoa; Arthropoda; Insecta; Hymenoptera; Formicidae.